UAGUCAUAUGCUUGUCCCAAAGAUUAAGCCAUGCAUGUCUAAGUAUAAACAAAUCUGUACUGUGAAACUGCGAAUGGCUCAUUAAAUCAGUUAUAAUUUACUUGAUAGUCACUUUAUCAUUGGAUAACCGUGGUAAUUCUAGAGCUAAUACAUGCAACAAGCCUGACUUCGGAAGGGCUGUAUUUAUUAGAUACAAAACUGACGGCACUUCGGUGUCUUUGGUGAUUCAUAAUAACUUUGCGGAUCGCAUGGCCUUGCGCCGGCGACGUUUCAUUCAA
RNAcentral lists this ribosomal RNA (278 nucleotides) under uncultured eukaryote. RNAcentral describes it as "partial 18S ribosomal RNA". It matches the Rfam family "Eukaryotic small subunit ribosomal RNA", at positions 21 to 302 of the family's 1831-position model. The record is from RNAcentral.